This 302-nucleotide long non-coding RNA is filed under the name Rattus norvegicus (Norway rat). RNAcentral describes it as "long non-coding RNA NONRATT018530". Lineage: Eukaryota; Metazoa; Chordata; Mammalia; Rodentia; Muridae. The record is from RNAcentral.
GCAGGCGGCAGCUUGUCCGGCCUGACUCUGCGGAGGGUGGUGGCCGCCUGGGCCCCAGCUCUUCACCGAGGGUCUGCUCUCAGGCCUGGAACCUAACUGGCGACAAGAAGUGACAGCAGCAGUCCGGUCGGCCCACGUGCUAUCUUCGCAGUCCAGAACCUGUCGCCGAAACAAGCCGAGCAGAUCGGGAACUCAGUUUCAGUGUUUGCCCCAUAUGGAAAGUCGUGAGACCCGACUUUCCUAGUUCGGGUCUCCCAUGUGUCAGUAACUUAGGAUAACUGGGAUGAUGAUGAUGAUGAAAA